RNAcentral lists this long non-coding RNA (1429 nucleotides) under Equus asinus (donkey). RNAcentral's name for it is "lncRNA (ENSEASG00005030956.1)". Lineage: Eukaryota; Metazoa; Chordata; Mammalia; Perissodactyla; Equidae. The record is from RNAcentral.
ACUUUCGGGGAUGGAGGGGAAGCCCAGGUACUCUCUGUGCUUCCUAACUGGCCGUGGAAGGGGAGGUGGAGACGGGAAGCGGCAGUCGGUUUCACUGCAGCGUCUGGGAUUCCUGCCCCGAGUUCUUCCUCAGAAACCGGCGGCGGCUGCGGACAGGGGCGGCUGGGCUGAGGGGCGGGAAGCCGCUGGCCAGCUUCACCCUCUCUCUGGGGCUCCUGCAGGGCAAGGGGAGCGGAUGUGAAGUUGUCCCUGUAGAUAUAAUUAACAGCAUUGUGGACAAGACCACAAGUUCAGAAGGAGCUUACAAAGGAGAAAUUCAUGCUGCAAAUGGUGACACUUAAGCCAAAAGCAAUAAAAUGCAUUCAUCUGGGACACUGUCGCCCUGGGGUUUAUGGCUUCCACAGGACAAUCCAAGUCUGGGCUUCAGACCUCGUCAUUCUGCCACACUGUGACCCCGAGGCAGGGCGCGCCAUAAACAGACCGGGAGGCUGCUCUGUGUGCCCUCGCUGCGGGCUGGCUGCUCUGGGAAGAACACGCAGCCCUCAACAGGGAAAUGCGAUAACUAUUCUGCUUCUUGGAAUGAUUUGCAGAUUCAUGCAUUCAAACAUUCUUCAGAUGCUGACUGGUGGUAUAUGUCACCACGUUCCCGGUGGGAUGCGACCUGGUGGUGGAAAACAGACAGCUCACUUAAACGCCAGUUCGGCCACUUACUAACCGUGUGACCUUGGGAAACUUACUUAACUUCUCUGAGCCGAAGUUUACUCACAGAAGCUGGACCCUUUGUCACGGAGCUGAACACACACACCUGGCCCAGGAGCUGGUGUCGCUGAAGGAGGAUCCAGGAGAAGGUGGGACAGCUGCAGGCCUGGCCCCGGCCCCAAGCCAACAAGAGAAACAUGGUCGAAAUACCCUACAGACCAGAAGCCAGCACCUCAGCAGUCAUCUUGAUUCUUCUCUCUCUCUCCCCCGACAUCCCAGCCAUUAACAAGGCCUACAGGUGCCACCUCUGUAUCGCAUCUCAAGCCCGCUUGCGGCUCCUUCUCCGCGUCCACAGCACCACGUUGGUCCAAACUCCAUCCGCUCCUCCUGCAUCAUUGUGAUGGCUUCCCAAUGGCUCCAGAGUCACCGAUCUCUUACUGUGUGCUGAACCACAAGACCUGUGCGAAACUCAGAGAUCCCCAGGGGGAGAAAAGUUCGAGCUUACCCACGUAAACCCUGCAGGAGCAACUGGGCUGGUCAAUAUGUCUAGACUGGGGCCAGGGAGCCCUCCGAGACAUCUCGUGCCAUGUCCUGAGCACAGUCAAAUUCAGCCUUCCGCCACUGACCCUCUCAGCCACCCCCCAAACCUUUUAUGGACUGAAUUCUGAACGAGCCAAAGUGCAACAGUCGAAAACAGCAACAUGUCAUCAGAUUGUGUUAUGAAGAGUAG